Molecule: ribosomal RNA, 497 nt
Filed under: uncultured bacterium
Lineage: Bacteria
Description: partial 16S ribosomal RNA
Rfam family: Bacterial small subunit ribosomal RNA
Source: RNAcentral
GACGAACGCUGGCGGCGUGCCUAAUACAUGCAAGUUGAGCGCUGAAGGUUGGUACUUGUACCAACUGGAUGAGCAGCGAACGGGUGAGUAACGCGUGGGGAAUCUGCCUUUGAGCGGGGGACAACAUUUGGAAACGAAUGCUAAUACCGCAUAAAAACUUUAAACACAAGUUUUAAGUUUGAAAGAUGCAAUUGCAUCACUCAAAGAUGAUCCCGCGUUGUAUUAGCUAGUUGGUGAGGUAAAGGCUCACCAAGGCGAUGAUACAUAGCCGACCUGAGAGGGUGAUCGGCCACAUUGGGACUGAGACACGGCCCAAACUCCUACGGGAGGCAGCAGUAGGGAAUCUUCGGCAAUGGACGAAAGUCUGACCGAGCAACGCCGCAUGAGUGAAGAAGGGUUUCGGAUCGUAAAACUCUGUUGGUAGAGAAGAACGUUGGUGAGAGUGGAAAGCUCAUCAAGUGACGGUAACUACCCAGAAAGGGACGGCUAACUACGUG